This 239-nucleotide long non-coding RNA is filed under the name Fukomys damarensis (Damara mole-rat). RNAcentral describes it as "lncRNA (ENSFDAG00000028148.1)". Lineage: Eukaryota; Metazoa; Chordata; Mammalia; Rodentia; Bathyergidae. The record is from RNAcentral.
UCCACAUGGAGGGUGGUCUUCCUCUCUCCCAGGAACUUGGGAGAGGGACUGGGUUCCAAGAGAAAAGAGCUGAAAGUGGAAGAACUGCUCCCCUUGAGAGGUGGUUUGGAAUUUGGGCAGAAAAUAGGGGCCAGAAGGAAGAAAUAAAGUUGGCAGAAGGAGACAGGAAAUGGAUCCAACACAAGGCAGAGAAGGAAAGAGAAUGAGAGAGCAUAGAACAGUAGAGACAAGAGGCAGAA